AAUCCAUGGUGAGGGCACCUUCUCAAUAGAUCUUUGUAUCUCUCCCAUGCAUCAUAAAGUGUUUCUAAAUCCAUUUGCACAAAAGAAGAGAUAUCAUUCCUUAAUUU
RNAcentral lists this small nucleolar RNA (107 nucleotides) under Gossypium barbadense (sea-island cotton). RNAcentral's name for it is "Plant small nucleolar RNA R71". It matches the Rfam family "Plant small nucleolar RNA R71". From Rfam's summary of the family: R71 is a member of the C/D box family of snoRNAs containing the C (UGAUGA) and D (CUGA) box motifs. Lineage: Eukaryota; Viridiplantae; Streptophyta; Magnoliopsida; Malvales; Malvaceae. RNAcentral also lists the same sequence under 1 other name. The record is from Rfam by way of RNAcentral.